This 74-nucleotide transfer RNA is filed under the name Ictidomys tridecemlineatus (thirteen-lined ground squirrel). RNAcentral describes it as "Spermophilus tridecemlineatus (thirteen-lined ground squirrel) tRNA". It matches the Rfam family "tRNA". From Rfam's summary of the family: Transfer RNA (tRNA) molecules are approximately 80 nucleotides in length. Their secondary structure includes four short double-helical elements and three loops (D, anti-codon, and T loops). Further hydrogen bonds mediate the characteristic L-shaped molecular structure. tRNAs have two regions of fundamental functional importance: the anti-codon, which is responsible for specific mRNA codon recognition, and the 3' end, to which the tRNAs corresponding amino acid is attached (by aminoacyl-tRNA synthetases). tRNAs cope with the degeneracy of the genetic code in two manners: having more than one tRNA (with a specific anti-codon) for a particular amino acid; and 'wobble' base-pairing, i.e. permitting non-standard base-pairing at the 3rd anti-codon position. Lineage: Eukaryota; Metazoa; Chordata; Mammalia; Rodentia; Sciuridae. The record is from Rfam by way of RNAcentral.
GGGGAUAUAGCUCAGUUGGUAGAGUGUUUGCCUCGUGUGCACGAAGCCCUGGGUUCUAAUCCCCAGGAGCACCA